CCUACGGGUGGCAGCAGUGAGGAAUAUUGGUCAAUGGGCGAGAGCCUGAACCAGCCAAGUCGCGUGAAGGAUGACGGCCCUACGGGUUGUAAACUUCUUUUGUCAGGGAGCAAUUGAGUCCACGUGUGGGAUUUUGUAUGUACCAUAUGAAUAAGGAUCGGCUAACUCCGUGCCAGCAGCCGCGGUAAUACGGAGGAUCCGAGCGUUAUCCGGAUUUAUUGGGUUUAAAGGGAGCGUAGGUGGAUUGUUAAGUCAGUUGUGAAAGUUUGCGGCUCAACCGUAAAAUUGCAGUUGAAACUGGCAGUCUUGAGUACAGUAGAGGUGGGCGGAAUUCGUGGUGUAGCGGUGAAAUGCUUAGAUAUCACGAAGAACUCCGAUUGCGAAGGCAGUUCACUGGACUGCAACUGACACUGAGGCUCGAAAGUGUGGGUAUCAAACAGGAUUAGAUACCCGGGUAGUC
This 460-nucleotide ribosomal RNA is filed under the name uncultured bacterium. RNAcentral's name for it is "partial 16S ribosomal RNA". It matches the Rfam family "Bacterial small subunit ribosomal RNA", at positions 338 to 795 of the family's 1533-position model. The record is from RNAcentral.